RNAcentral lists this RNase P RNA (469 nucleotides) under Membranihabitans marinus. RNAcentral's name for it is "Bacterial RNase P class A". It matches the Rfam family "Bacterial RNase P class A". From Rfam's summary of the family: Ribonuclease P (RNase P) is a ubiquitous endoribonuclease, found in archaea, bacteria and eukarya as well as chloroplasts and mitochondria. Its best characterised activity is the generation of mature 5'-ends of tRNAs by cleaving the 5'-leader elements of precursor-tRNAs. The record is from Rfam by way of RNAcentral. Lineage: Bacteria; Pseudomonadati; Bacteroidota; Saprospiria; Saprospirales; Saprospiraceae.
GUUGCAGUCUGUUCUAUCGCUAUGGGAAAGCCCGUAGAGGAAAAUCCGGACAACGUAGAGAGUCGCACCACCUAACUGGUGGGCUUUGGUUUCUUGAAAACCAAAGACAGAAUAGUGCCACAGAAAACAAACCGUCCCCCAUUCCGAAGAAAUUCGGGAAGGGGGAUAAGGGUGAAAACGUGCGGUAAGAGCGCACGCUGUCAUGCAGUAAUGUGUGAUGGGGGUAAACCUUGCGAGUUGAAAUGCCAAAUAUAUUUCGGUAGGUCCGAAAGUGACCUUCCUGGUUUCUCGCCGGGAUCUUAAUCCACCGCUUUGACAUUGAUCAGAAACGUGGUGACGUAAAGUCAGGGCCGGAAGGGGUAGGCAGCUCGAUCCGGAUGGUGACAUCCGGGCUAGAUAAAUGAUAGAAUAUCUGUACUGGCUUAACCAGAGAAGAUAACAGAAUCCGGUUUACAGGACUGCAGCUUUU